Molecule: non-coding RNA, 426 nt
Organism: Callorhinus ursinus (northern fur seal)
Lineage: Eukaryota; Metazoa; Chordata; Mammalia; Carnivora; Otariidae
Source: RefSeq, a predicted model, not a curated record
ACGCCGGCUACGUACGCAUGGAGGAGCUCUGUACUUUGCCGCGGAGUUCCCCGGCGCCAAGCUCUGACCAGUCGGAAACGUCCUUUCUGUCUCCGGGCGGAGUCUGUUUUCUCCUCUGAAAAAUGAAGAUGAUAGUAUGCCCACUUAAGGCUCAUUAUGAGGAUUAAGAAGACACCAUUUAAAAUGGAGCCUGACAUACAGUAAGUGCUCAUUAAAAGUGCAUGCCUUCCUUUCUCUGUGUGAAGACCGUGUGAAGAAGAAGAAAAUUUUCAACUCAUGAAGACAACUUUCAACUCUCUUCAGUAGAGAAAAAUAUUCCAGCUUCAUAAAAGGCUAUUGUUUGUUAAUUCUACCCUUUUGUCAUGACAUUUAAAAAAAAUAUUUAGCUAUGAGAUAAAAUACAAUGUCACCAAUCCCUUACAUGAA